GGUAGUAAAAGUCGUAACAAGGUUUCCGUAGGUGAACCUGCGGAAGGAUCAUUACUGAGUGAGGGCCCCUCGGGGUCCAACCUCCCACCCGUGUUUAACGAACCUUGUUGCUUCGGCGGGCCCGCCUCACGGCCGCCGGGGGGCAUUUGCCCCCGGGCCCGCGCCCGCCGAAGCCACCUGUGAACGCUGUCUGAAGUAUGCAGUCUGAGACAAUUAUUAAAUUAAUUAAAACUUUCAACAACGGAUCUCUUGGUUCCG
This 258-nucleotide unclassified non-coding RNA is filed under the name plant metagenome. RNAcentral's name for it is "partial contains small subunit ribosomal RNA, internal transcribed spacer 1, and 5.8S ribosomal RNA". The stretch from base 1 to 54 matches the Rfam family "Eukaryotic small subunit ribosomal RNA", at positions 1778 to 1831 of the family's 1831-position model. The record is from RNAcentral.